UAGGGAAUCUUCCACAAUGGGCGAAAGCCUGAUGGAGCAACGCCGCGUGAGUGAUGAAGGCCUUCGGGUUGUAAAACUCUGUCAUUCGGGACGAACCGGAGUCUGAGGAAAUGCAGACUCUCUGACGGUACCGGAGGAGGAAGCCCCGGCUAACUACGUGCCAGCAGCCGCGGUAAUACGUAGGGGGCAAGCGUUGUCCGGAUUCACUGGGCGUAAAGCGCGCGCAGGCGGUGAUGUAAGUCUGAGGUGAAAACCCGAAGCUCAACUUCGGGACUGCGUUGGAUACUGCGUCACUUGAGGAUAGGAGAGGCAAGGGGAAUUCCACGUGUAGCGGUGAAAUGCGUAGAGAUGUGGAGGAACACCUGUGGCGAAGGCGCCUUGCUGGCCUAUUUCUGACGCUGAGGCGCGAAAGCGUGGGGAGCAAACAGG
This 429-nucleotide ribosomal RNA is filed under the name Actinomycetes bacterium. RNAcentral's name for it is "Actinobacteria bacterium partial 16S ribosomal RNA". It matches the Rfam family "Bacterial small subunit ribosomal RNA", at positions 355 to 776 of the family's 1533-position model. Lineage: Bacteria; Bacillati; Actinomycetota; Actinomycetes. The record is from RNAcentral.